This 845-nucleotide ribosomal RNA is filed under the name Staphylococcus aureus. RNAcentral's name for it is "partial 23S ribosomal RNA". It matches the Rfam family "Bacterial large subunit ribosomal RNA", at positions 1 to 842 of the family's 2925-position model. Lineage: Bacteria; Bacillati; Bacillota; Bacilli; Caryophanales; Staphylococcaceae. The record is from RNAcentral.
AGAUUAAGUUAUUAAGGGCGCACGGUGGAUGCCUUGGCACUAGAAGCCGAUGAAGGACGUUACUAACGACGAUAUGCUUUGGGGAGCUGUAAGUAAGCUUUGAUCCAGAGAUUUCCGAAUGGGGAAACCCAGCAUGAGUUAUGUCAUGUUAUCGAUAUGUGAAUACAUAGCAUAUCAGAAGGCACACCCGGAGAACUGAAACAUCUUAGUACCCGGAGGAAGAGAAAGAAAAUUCGAUUCCCUUAGUAGCGGCGAGCGAAACGGGAAGAGCCCAAACCAACAAGCUUGCUUGUUGGGGUUGUAGGACACUCUAUACGGAGUUACAAAGGACGACAUUAGACGAAUCAUCUGGAAAGAUGAAUCAAAGAAGGUAAUAAUCCUGUAGUCGAAAAUGUUGUCUCUCUUGAGUGGAUCCUGAGUACGACGGAACACGUGAAAUUCCGUCGGAAUCUGGGAGGACCAUCUCCUAAGGCUAAAUACUCUCUAGUGACCGAUAGUGAACCAGUACCGUGAGGGAAAGGUGAAAAGCACCCCGGAAGGGGAGUGAAAUAGAACCUGAAACCGUGUGCUUACAAGUAGUCAGAGCCCGUUAAUGGGUGAUGGCGUGCCUUUUGUAGAAUGAACCGGCGAGUUACGAUUUGAUGCAAGGUUAAGCAGUAAAUGUGGAGCCGUAGCGAAAGCGAGUCUGAAUAGGGCGUUUAGUAUUUGGUCGUAGACCCGAAACCAGGUGAUCUACCCUUGGUCAGGUUGAAGUUCAGGUAACACUGAAUGGAGGACCGAACCGACUUACGUUGAAAAGUGAGCGGAUGAACUGAGGGUAGCGGAGAAAUUCCAAUCGAACCUGG